AGCUCCAAUAGCGUAUAUUAAAGUUGUUGCAGUUAAAAAGCUCGUAGUUGGAUUUCUGUGGAGCACAGUAGUGGUGGCGUUCAUAAAGGCGUCUGCUAUUACGAACUCCUCAUAAUGUCUGUCGCUGUCUUCUGCCCUUAACUGGGUGGUUGGUGGUGGUGGACCGAUUACCUUGAACAAAUUAGAGUGUUCAAAGCAGGCAAGCUUUUGCCCUGAAUAAAUUAGCAUGGGAUAAUGGAAUAUGACUCGGUCCAAGUUUGUUGGUCACCUUGGGCCGGGUAAUGAUUAAUAGAGAUUGUCGGGGUCAUUCAUAUUCAAUUGUCAGAGGUGAAAUUCUUAGAUUUCUUGAAGAUGAACUGAUGCGAAAGCGUUUGACAAGGAUGUUCUCA
This 389-nucleotide ribosomal RNA is filed under the name uncultured eukaryote. RNAcentral describes it as "SSU rRNA". It matches the Rfam family "Eukaryotic small subunit ribosomal RNA", at positions 587 to 972 of the family's 1831-position model. The record is from RNAcentral.